Bombina bombina (fire-bellied toad) is the source of this 317-nucleotide long non-coding RNA. RefSeq lists it as uncharacterized. NCBI's taxonomy places the organism in Eukaryota, Metazoa, Chordata, Amphibia, Anura, Bombinatoridae. The record is from RefSeq and is a predicted model, not a curated record. The transcript has 2 exons.
UUCAUCUGAUGGAAGCACAGGCAGUUAAAAUAUUUUCAGUUUUUUCCUGGAAUUCCCACACCCAUACGGUUAUUUUUGUACCUUAGGGGUCUCAGGGAACGCUCGGAGCAUGGUUGUGUGAACAACAGGAGGCAACUCAUGGUGACCUAGUACAUAAGAAAUGGAGGUGAAUACACUGGCAAAAUCUAACUUGAAUUUACAAAAACUAUUGGAUGAGAAGCUUAAAAGGGAUAUAAAACAUUUUGAGAUUUUAAUAUAAAAGGUUUAACAAAUUGAAGUAAAAUAAAUAAAACGCAAUAAACGUAUUAUUUAUUUUG